CAUAUCAAAAAGCGGAGGAAAAGAAACCAACAGGGAUUGCCUUAGUAACGGCGAGUGAAGCGGCAAAAGCUCAAAUUUGAAAUCUGGCACCUUCGGUGUCCGAGUUGUAAUUUGAAGAAGGUAACUUUGGAGUUGGCUCUUGUCUAUGUUCCUUGGAACAGGACGUCACAGAGGGUGAGAAUCCCGUGCGAUGAGAUGCCCAAUUCUAUGUAAAGUGCUUUCGAAGAGUCGAGUUGUUUGGGAAUGCAGCUCUAAGUGGGUGGUAAAUUCCAUCUAAAGCUAAAUAUUGGCGAGAGACCGAUAGCGAACAAGUACAGUGAUGGAAAGAUGAAAAGAACUUUGAAAAGAGAGUGAAAAAGUACGUGAAAUUGUUGAAAGGGAAGGGCUUGAGAUCAGACUUGGUAUUUUGCGAUCCUUUCCUUCUUGGUUGGGUUCCUCGCAGCUUACUGGGCCAGCAUCGGUUUGGAUGGUAGGAUAAUGACUAAGGAAUGUGGCUCUACUUCGGUGGAGUGUUAUAGCCUUGGUUGAUACUGCCUGUCUAGACCGAGGACUGCGUCUUUUGACUAGGAUGUUGGCAUAAUGAUCUUAAGCCACCCGUCUUGAAAC
RNAcentral lists this ribosomal RNA (606 nucleotides) under Debaryomyces hansenii. RNAcentral's name for it is "eukaryotic LSU rRNA". It matches the Rfam family "Eukaryotic large subunit ribosomal RNA", at positions 39 to 660 of the family's 3401-position model. Lineage: Eukaryota; Fungi; Ascomycota; Pichiomycetes; Serinales; Debaryomycetaceae. The record is from RNAcentral.